GCUGUCAUGGCCGAGUGGUUAAGGCGAUGGUCUAGAAAUACAUUGGGGUCCCCGCACAGGUUCAAAUCCUGUCGACUGCG
Non-coding RNA from Ixodes scapularis (black-legged tick), 80 nucleotides. The record is from Rfam. NCBI's taxonomy places the organism in Eukaryota, Metazoa, Arthropoda, Arachnida, Ixodida, Ixodidae.